CUGAAGUGCCUGGUCCCUGCACCCACCAAAACGGUUCCCUCCAGCCCUGCUGUUGUUCCGUUUCUGUCCGCCAGGGGGAGACAAGGCGCAGGCUCCCUCCCGUCCGGCUUUCCUUGCGCGUUCACAGAGCCUCGAGAGCGCGCGGCCGUGCGCGGGACCCCGCGGCCGUGCGCGCCCGCGGGACUCCCAGGGGCGGGGCGCGCACGCGCAGACGGCUGCGCUUCCCGCGUGGCAGGACCGGGUAGGGUUGAGGCUGCAGGCUCCCUGCAGGUCAGAAGCGGGGACUUGCGGGAAUCUCGUCUUUCUCCGGGACCAGUCUUCCGCUUGGAUUUGCGGGAGGGACGACCUGACCCCCUUCAGAGUUAGCAUUUCUUCCCCAUCAGAAGGCUGUCACCUGCUGCUUGGUUCACCCUAGCCCUGCAGCAGCGAGGGCACCGGGAACAGGCAUCCUAGGGGAAUGGCCCUCGGACAGGGAGGGAGUUUGGGGGGCCUAAGGCUGUUCUCAUUCUGCGGUCAACAAAGACGGAUAGCUCCUCACGUUCCCUCAGACUGCCCGGGCCACGGGAGGGGGGAUGGGGGAUGGGGUGAGGGCAGAGAGUCAGGAUUGCCCAUGACCUGGUCCUGAUUUUUCACUUCCCCUAAUCCCUUCACCCGUUAGCCAGAAAGGACCCAGAACCCUCGACAGUUGUAGGGGGCCUGUUUUGAAGACCUCACCACGCCAUCCGAAUUCUAAUGUUGGCGGUGAAUAGGGGAGGGUGGACAGGAGAUCCUCGCAGCCCUGUGACGUCGGGGCUGGCCCUGGGCGCUGGGCAGGUCCCGUGAACGCCCUCGACUGCUGUGUCUAGGAGAAACCCUCCCUGAUUUCGGAGACCUCCCGCAGAAGAAGGUCAACUCGGAUGAGCCUUCCCAACUUCUGGCGUUUGCCUUCUGCGCGGCAGCGGCCCCCACCUGCCCUGGUUUCAGGAGCACUGGCCGCAGAUGGCAGUCAGGUGAGCCCCAGUCAGCCUGAAUCCUUACCUUGCUUGUCUUAUUCCCCUGCUCCAGCCUGGCCCCUCCCAGUCCAGAAUCACACCUGCAGGUGUUCAUGGAGGGCCACAGUCUUACCCUCCCUGGGGCUGCCCUCCAGUCCGGGACUGCUGUGGACAGCUCACCCAGAGAAGAGUCCAGCCAAACAGUGUAUCAUACCUUUAAGGUUCUGGGGCUUUCCGUCUCCAAGCAUCACCUCCUGCGUUGAAGGUAUAUUUGGUCGAGAGGAGUUUCCUUCCACCGGCUGACAUGCAUUUUCGUGAAAGGUGGUCCAGCCGUGGGGUUUACGAGAGGCCUAAGGAAGCGCUCCCAGCACUGGGCGUGGUCCCAUUUAUAUGGAACGUCAGAACAGGCAAAUUUCCCGACACACAGCAGAGGAGUGGUGGCCUGGG
Ailuropoda melanoleuca (giant panda) is the source of this 1418-nucleotide long non-coding RNA. RefSeq lists it as uncharacterized. The record is from RefSeq and is a predicted model, not a curated record. Lineage: Eukaryota; Metazoa; Chordata; Mammalia; Carnivora; Ursidae. The transcript has 3 exons.